GUUAAAGCGAAGAGCUAUAGAUAGAGUCUUCACAACUGCUAUCAUUAACAAAGUGAGAGAGGUCACACCCUUUCCUUUAUUCUUUUCCUUUAAUUUUGGAUAUAAUUUUUGAGGGCAUCUAUUUUAGCGAAGCUUUUGUGUUUUCUGUGUAAAAAAGAGUCAUUUUUAGAGAGAGAUAAAAAAACGGCUAAAUUUGCUUGUUUUUCGGCUGCGGAGAAGCGGAGAUCGAGGUAGGGGGUUGUAUUGGACAAGGAGAGUUACCCGUUUGGCAACCGAUUUUUGAGGGGACCUUUUGGUCAUUUCGUGGUUGCUGAUCUGGUUUUUGGAGCAGUUGCAGAAGUGGGGUUUCGAGAUUGGUGGGAUUUGAAUCCAAGCAUCUGUUGGGGAGAUUAUAAGUGGAAAAGGAAAAACAAGCAAACGAA
RNAcentral lists this unclassified non-coding RNA (422 nucleotides) under Hevea brasiliensis (rubber tree). Lineage: Eukaryota; Viridiplantae; Streptophyta; Magnoliopsida; Malpighiales; Euphorbiaceae. The record is from RNAcentral.